This 229-nucleotide ribosomal RNA is filed under the name uncultured bacterium. Its description in RNAcentral is "partial 16S ribosomal RNA". It matches the Rfam family "Bacterial small subunit ribosomal RNA", at positions 1272 to 1500 of the family's 1533-position model. The record is from RNAcentral.
UCCCUAAAAGACCAUCCCAGUUCGGAUUGCAGGCUGAAACCCGCCUGUAUGAAGUUGGAAUCGCUAGUAAUCGCGGAUCAGCAUGCCGCGGUGAAUACGUUCCCGGGCCUUGUACACACCGCCCGUCACACCAUGAGAGUUGGGAAUGCCCGAAGCCGGUGACCUAACCGAAAGGGAGGAGCCGUCGAAGGCAGGCUUGAUAACUGGGGUGAAGUCGUAACAAGGUAGC